This 1827-nucleotide long non-coding RNA is filed under the name Triticum aestivum (bread wheat). RNAcentral describes it as "long non-coding RNA (TAES_LNC001405)". The record is from RNAcentral. Lineage: Eukaryota; Viridiplantae; Streptophyta; Magnoliopsida; Poales; Poaceae.
CUGAACCCCACUCUCCCCACCUCCCGUGACCAACCUGCUUGAUCCCCAUCCCCAGCCUCCUUGGGCCGGCGGGCAAACUCGCCCCGUACGGUGAACCCCGCCGCCGGGUGCCACCCACCCACCGUAGUGCGCCCCAUCAACCCCCACCGCCGUGGGUUGCCCAUCGACAACGCCUCACCUAGUCAACCCCACCACCGUGCACUUCCCAACCAUCACGCCGCGCACCGCCAUCCACACUGCCGCGCGCCACCCGCAAUCCCCGCCUCCAUGACUCCUCCUUUGUCGUCCCGUUCUGCGGUAUCAAAUUUCGGCAGCAAUCCCGUUGAACAGCUUGGAUCCAUGGCGUCAGCGAGCAACUGCACCCCCACAGUCGCGCGACACCCUAGCAGGUGUAGGUGGGCGAGAGGGACGAAGAAGUGGCAAAGGAGCUCCAGCUCGAUCUGCUCGGCUGUCGGCGGAGGAGCGGAGCACCCCUCGCGCAGGUCUAGCUUGAUUCUUAUCGUCCGCCAUCGUGCGUUCAGAGGCCUCCCGCGCUCGAGCUCCUACAGGUGACAGGCAUCUCAUUCUUGCCGAUUUUAGUUGCCGCCACUGAGCUUCUCUGAUUCACCACUAUUCUUUGUAAUUCGCCCAUGCCUCUAUUUCUCUGGACCAGAAGAAGAGAGAAGUUUAUCCUAGCUGAGAGACAGAGUUGAAGCUCAACGUGUAUAUUAAAUAAAAGAAGAUUGCAGUGAUGAUGAGUGCGUGGCUGCCUGUAGUUCUUGUGUUUAAUACAAACACUCCCCUUUCCUUCCCUGCAACAAUGGACACAAGCAUGCAAGGUGCUUCUCCUAUUGUGUCUGCUGGAAGAAGUGGAAAUCUAAUCGGCGUGCAGGUUCUUGGGCAGGUGGGUGUGCUAGUGUAGUUUUUCAGUUGACGAUCUAGCUAGCGCACUUUCUUCAGGUUGGCACCGUUCAGUUUGAAAAGGUACGACCGUUCAUUUAGUGAAUACGCCACAAAUUAACUUUGGAAAGUAUGCUGUUGAGCACUUCUCUAGCUAGAUUUGUUCUUGUUUAUGCCCCUCGAAGUAAAUGAUUCCUCGCAGUCGAACUUUUGAAAGUCUAUACUGCAUUUUUCGUAACUUUAGUGUAGUGAGAAGAUGGGGGCACCAACAACGGACCAGCGGUGACCGGGCCUUCUCUCAUCCAGAUCCCCGCGGAUGUGUGUCAUCAAUGCCUUGAGCUGGGCCCGCUCAACCUCAGUCUCCAGGACGAAUACGGCGCUGCCCAGCAGGAAGGGUAACAAAAAAGUUGCAAAAAAUGCGAGUGCAGCUGAUUGCCUCCUCUGUGUUGUGAUGUACUAUGUGUUCUAGUUUUUUUUAAGUUCAUGUUGUGAACCCAACUAAGUUUGAGCACAAAAGUUUAAAUGGCGACUGGUUUGAAUUUUCUCCUAUAGCAAAAAUCUCGCUUCCCUCCUGUGUACUAUGUCCACUUAUGUGUUGUUUGUCAAUGCUUUUUAUCUGAUGUUCAGUAGUAUCUGUGGGUGCAAAAAAGUUGGUGUUGUGAUACAUUGGUUCAGUUUCAUAGGUCAUGCAAGAGAAAAUAGAAAAAAUGUAUUUUCUUCUCCAAAAAGCAUCAACGUUGUGGAGUGCUUAUCUUCUUGUGUACUUCUAUCGAUGCUUGUGUUCCAUGGAGAGAGAGAGAGGAAAUCAUUCAUGUUUCCUUUCUUUCUAUCUACUUCAGAGACAUUUUGUUAGAAAAAAGGUUAACGACACAUUCUCUUGAGAGAUACAAUGUUGUUCGGGCUUCAAUGCCUAUUUACAUGAAAGUUCAUGUUUCAGAAAUUUCUAAG